This 253-nucleotide ribosomal RNA is filed under the name uncultured bacterium. RNAcentral's name for it is "partial 16S ribosomal RNA". It matches the Rfam family "Bacterial small subunit ribosomal RNA", at positions 524 to 776 of the family's 1533-position model. The record is from RNAcentral.
UACGUAGGUGGCGAGCGUUGUCCGGAUUUACUGGGCGUAAAGGGAGCGUAGGCGGACUUUUAAGUGAGAUGUGAAAUACUCGGGCUCAACUUGAGUGCUGCAUUUCAAACUGGAAGUCUAGAGUGCAGGAGAGGAGAAUGGAAUUCCUAGUGUAGCGGUGAAAUGCGUAGAGAUUAGGAGGAACACCGGUGGCGAAAGCGGCUCUCUGGCCUGUAACUGACACUGAGGCUCGAAAGCGUGGGGAGCAAACAGG